Molecule: small RNA, 680 nt
Filed under: Pongo abelii (Sumatran orangutan)
Lineage: Eukaryota; Metazoa; Chordata; Mammalia; Primates; Hominidae
Description: retained intron
Source: RNAcentral
CGACCACCAUCUUGCUAACUCCCGAGAGGAAGUUCCACAGCUUCGGGUAUGCCGCCAGGGACUUUUACCAUGACCUGGAUCCCAAUGAGGCCAAGCAGUGGCUGUACCUGGAGAAGUUCAAGAUGAAGCUGCACACCACUGGGGACCUCACCAUGGAUACAGACCUGACGGCAGCAAAUGGCAAGAAAGUCAAAGCCCUUGAAAUCUUUGCUUAUGCCCUGCAGUACUUUAAGGAGCAGGCGCUGAAGGUAGGACUGAUAGUUGAGGCCAGCCAGCUGUGUGCUAGGCGGUGGCACCCGUGCCAGCUCCAUGUCUCGGGCUGCUGCACCUGCUGGCCAGGGUAGGAGGCACAGCCUGGAGGGAGAGUGUGGGCUUUGGAGUCAACACAGCAAGAUGAACCCUCACAUGCUGCUGGUGGGGAAGUAAAACGGUGCGGCCUCUUUGGAAAACAGUUUGGCAAUUCCUAAAAAAGUAAAGCACAGAGUUACCGUAGGACCCAGCAGCUCCACUCCUGGGUGGAUCCCUAAGAGAAAUGAAAGAAGAUGUCCACACUCACACGUAUACGUGAAUGUGCAUAGCAACGUUAUUCAUAACUAUGAAAAGUGGAAACAGUCCACAUGCUGUCCACACAAACACACGUAUACGUGAAUGUGCAUAGCAACAUUAUUCGCAACAACGAA